UACGAAGGGGGCUAGCGUUGCUCGGAAUCACUGGGCGUAAAGCGCACGUAGGCGGCUUGCUAAGUCAGGGGUGAAAUCCUGGAGCUCAACUCCAGAACUGCCUUUGAUACUGGCGGUCUCGAGUCCGGGAGAGGUGAGUGGAACUGCGAGUGUAGAGGUGAAAUUCGUAGAUAUUCGCAAGAACACCAGUGGCGAAGGCGGCUCACUGGACCGGAACUGACGCUGAGGCGCGAAAGCGUGGGGAGCAAACAGG
RNAcentral lists this ribosomal RNA (253 nucleotides) under uncultured bacterium. RNAcentral's name for it is "partial 16S ribosomal RNA". It matches the Rfam family "Bacterial small subunit ribosomal RNA", at positions 524 to 776 of the family's 1533-position model. The record is from RNAcentral.